This 116-nucleotide non-coding RNA is filed under the name Galbibacter orientalis. RNAcentral describes it as "Joostella marina SAM-I sequence". It matches the Rfam family "SAM riboswitch aptamer (S box leader)". Rfam says of the family: The SAM riboswitch is found upstream of a number of genes which code for proteins involved in methionine or cysteine biosynthesis in Gram-positive bacteria. The SAM riboswitch acts at the level of transcription termination control. The predicted structure consists of a complex stem-loop region followed by a single stem loop terminator region. The record is from RNAcentral. Lineage: Bacteria; Pseudomonadati; Bacteroidota; Flavobacteriia; Flavobacteriales; Flavobacteriaceae. RNAcentral also lists the same sequence under 1 other name.
AUGUUAUCAAGAAAGGCGGAAGGAAUAGACCUGAAGAUGCCUUAGCAACCCUUUGUCUCGAGGAAACUCAGAUUGAGAAGGUGCUACAUUCUACCACGUAAGUGGAUAGAUAACAA